RNAcentral lists this ribosomal RNA (668 nucleotides) under bacterium HTCC8049. RNAcentral's name for it is "bacterial SSU rRNA". It matches the Rfam family "Bacterial small subunit ribosomal RNA", at positions 199 to 889 of the family's 1533-position model. The record is from RNAcentral.
UAUAAAAGCUUUAUGCACCAUUGGAUGAGCCCGCACUUGAUUAGUUUGUUGGUGGGGUAAUGGCCUACCAAGACUGUGAUCAAUAGCUGAUUUGAGAGGAUGAUCAGCCACAUUGGGACUGAGACACGGCCCAAACUCCUACGGGAGGCAGCAGUGGGGAAUCUUGCACAAUGGAGGAAACUCUGAUGCAGCGAUGCCGCGUGAGUGAAGAAGGCCCUUGGGUUGUAAAGCUCUUUCGUCGGGGAAGAAAAUGACUGUACCCGAAUAAGAAGGUCCGGCUAACUUCGUGCCAGCAGCCGCGGUAAUACGAAGGGACCUAGCGUAGUUCGGAAUUACUGGGCUUAAAGAGUUCGUAGGUGGUUGAAAAAGUUGGUGGUGAAAUCCCAGAGCUUAACUCUGGAACUGCCAUCAAAACUUUUCAGCUAGAGUAUGAUAGAGGAAAGCAGAAUUUCUAGUGUAGAGGUGAAAUUCGUAGAUAUUAGAAAGAAUACCAAUUGCGAAGGCAGCUUUCUGGAUCAUUACUGACACUGAGGAACGAAAGCAUGGGUAGCGAAGAGGAUUAGAUACCCUCGUAGUCCAUGCCGUAAACGAUGUGUGUUAGACGUUGGAAAUUUAUUUUCAGUGUCGCAGCGAAAGCGAUAAACACACCGCCUGGGGAGUACGACCGC